RNAcentral lists this ribosomal RNA (261 nucleotides) under uncultured archaeon. RNAcentral's name for it is "partial 16S ribosomal RNA". It matches the Rfam family "Archaeal small subunit ribosomal RNA", at positions 748 to 1009 of the family's 1478-position model. The record is from RNAcentral.
CAGCCCUAAACGAUGCGCGUUAGGUGUAUCGGUGACCACGAGUCACCGAGGUGCCGAAGGGAAACCGUGAAACGUGCCGCCUGGGAAGUACGGUCGCAAGGCUGAAACUUAAAGGAAUUGACGGGGGAGCACCACAACGGGUGGAGCCUGCGGUUUAAUUGGACUCAACGCCGGGAAGCUCACCGGAUAAGACAGCGGAAUGAUUGCCGGGCUGAAGACCCUGCAUGACCAGCUGAGAGGAGGUGCAUGGCGUAGUCGUGU